GUUGCCAGAGGUUUUUAAAAGGAUAAUUCUGUAUUUAAGCCGUUCUACAGGUGUCCCGACUUCUUCUUUAAAAUGAGCAAAAUGGGGGGAGGAGUCCAGUGUCCAUCAGCAGCUGUGGGUUUGCUAGGCUGGUGGUAGGGUGAAGCUGCAACAUGCGAGGCCAGGCUGCUCUCUGUACUGCUCUAUCAGCACAGACCCCACUGCAUGCUGGGUAUUAGCCAGCAGAGCUCCACCCCAUCCCAUUUCUGGCCAGCAUUGGCCAGUGAGGCAGGCAGACGCCAGGUGGUGGCUGCUUACAUGUCACCUCUGCUGCCCAAUCAUCAGCUGUUUACAUCUUCCCUCUCUCAAGGUCUUCUCCCUGGCUUCCCCCUCCUCCCCACUACAUGUCCCUCUCCCAGUGCUGAACAGAGAACCAGCUCCUGGUCCACACAAAAAGAUACACAUAAAAUUCUGUGUCCAUGUCAGAAUUCACAUAAAUAUUCAUCUCUGAAAUUAACUUUUAACUGAUUCAGAUAUUUUAUGGCACAUAGUAAUACACCUCUCUAACUCCUUCCCCCAAUACACACACAUACUUUUCCUGCCAUACUUUUGCUGCCAUACAUCAGAAAAAUAUAAAAUUAAUUUCAGACUAAAUGCAGAAUGACCAACCCCAUUUGACAAUCCAGAGAUCAUGCUUUUCUACAAAAUAAAUGUUCAAGGGCUCUUGAUGCAAAACAUAUGAGAACCAAACAAAAAGAAAAUAAAAAAAGAAAUUCUUUAUUUUGCUUUUAAAAAAUUAUUUGUUAUGUAAAGACCAGUGAAAUUCCCGUGAACCAAGCUAAUCUGAAAAUCUGUACCCCACAAUACAGCAUGCUGAUGAGUUGUAUAAAUUGACUUUUGUUUUCUGGAGCUAGCUAGACAAAUCACUCCCCAUUUACAGUACUAUCUGGACCAUGUACUGUGUAGCAUUAUUACAGCAUUUCCUUUAUGCACAACCCCCACCCUCUGCAUACUAUUAAUAUAUCCUGACUAGGUUAAAAGACUUGCAAAUGAUUUUGCCUGAAAUGCCCUAAUAUGAUAUCUCCUUUAGGGAAAUAUCUUCAGCCCCAAUUAGUUUAAUUGACAAGGAAGCCAAGAGAAUAGAAAGGACAGGACAGCAAUAGAAUAACAUGAAAGAAUAGGUUUCCGGGUUCACUACAUAACCCUUGAUUCUAUUCACUAUUAGUAUUUGUAACAUGCUCUUCCAUAACAGUUUAUACUACUGCCACUUCAUGGAUUCAUUAAAACUUUGAGUCAGAGAUGAUGUGGUAAAUCUUAUCAGGCUUACACUGUGCCAUUAGCACCGUAGUUAUGCUUGGCAUUUUCAUCUUUUAAAGGAAUCACUCACUUUCAUCAUUUUCUAUCACAAAAAUCACCAGUUCACAUUUGAGCAAAUUUAGCACUUACAAACACAACAGGGCUGUUUUAUCCCACACCAGGGAAACACCAAGGAGAACAAAUUUAACCAACCAAGUGUGAUAAAAACUGUUAAAUCCCCUCCCUACUCUCCCUCCAUGUCCCUAAGAAUAAAUUGAAUUUAGAUUCCAUUCUAACCAGUGAUAAUUUGGGGCGGGAGAGGCAGGGAGGGCAAACGUGUUGCAGCCCUGGGAAUCAUGUGGAAUCUACAUAAUUUACUAUUUCCUGUGAUUCAUCAAGCUUCCUUCUUCCCAAGAGUAAUUGGUCACCACUUAUUUAUAUAUCACAGAGCAGCUCAACUCUAAAGAUUUCCUUAUGGGAAGAAAAGGAAUUCCAAACAUUCUUAGUGGAGCUCCUUCUAUGGUACUUUGCCUAAGGCAUUAACUGAAAUUCCCAGCGUGAUAAAAGGAAAAUAAAAGAGAUCCCUUUUUUAAACCUAUUUCAGGUUUGACUCCUUAUUAGAAGGAAACACUCAGCUGGUGUGCAGGAAGAGACUCCCCCAUGGAGACAUCUUCAGAAGAUGAAGAAACAAUCAAUAGAGAAACUAUCGUGAGUGCACGCACAGUAUCACCUUCUCUUGGCAAGCACAUGGCAUGGCAAGAACCCUAACCCUGGUGAGUUCACUCUCAGGGACAAGGAGCAAGAUGAGGAAAUGCUAAAGGGUUUUCAGAGGGUAUCUUUGCUAGCACCUAGGAACAUUACUCUGAAUACUGUCACCAUUUUCCAUGGCGGGGGAUGUGUGACAGAAGCUGAUAUUUCAUUCCUGAGGAUAACAAAGGGUGCAAGAGUACAGCUUCUGCAUGCAUGUGGCUACAAAGUGGGUCCACGUGUUGCUCAGGUGUGUUACUUCGUUGCCGAAGAAGUAAUUGCCUGUGGGUGUGGCAAAGCUUCCUACUGCAAGGGGGGGAUCUUCAAAAAGCCUUCAGCAGAGGAUUGCAAGAGUAUCUCCAGGAAAGUUCCCUAGAAAUCUCCAUGGAGGAUUCCUGGGAUAUCCCAGCAUGCAUCAACAAUUUUUACCCCCUCUGCCUAUCUGCCCAGUGGAAUCAGAAGCAGAUACAAACUAUAUUAUUUCUGGUAGCACU
Pelodiscus sinensis (Chinese soft-shelled turtle) is the source of this 2516-nucleotide non-coding RNA. NCBI's taxonomy places the organism in Eukaryota, Metazoa, Chordata, Testudines, Trionychidae. The record is from RefSeq and is a predicted model, not a curated record.